Taeniopygia guttata (zebra finch) is the source of this 10151-nucleotide non-coding RNA. The record is from RefSeq and is a predicted model, not a curated record. Lineage: Eukaryota; Metazoa; Chordata; Aves; Passeriformes; Estrildidae.
GGGGCCGCUCAAGGGUCAUGGGGGGUCACUUGUGGGUCAUGGGGUCACUUGUGGGUCAUGGGAUCACUUCUGGGUCAUGGGAUCAUUUCUGGGUCAUGGGGGUCACUUGUGGGUCAUGGGAGUCACUUGUCGGUCAUGGGGUCACUUGUAUGUCAUGGGGGUCACUUCUGGGUCAUGGGAUCACUUCUUGGCCAUGGGAGUCACUUGUGGGUCAUGGGGGUGACUUGUGGGUCAUGGGAGUCACUUGUGGGUCAUGGGAUCACUUCUGGGUCAUGGGGGUCACUUGUGGGUCAUGGGAUCACUUCUGGGUCAUGGGGGUCACUUCUGGGUCAUGAGAGUCACUUGUGGGUCAUGGGAGUCACUUCUGGUCAUGGGGGUCACUUCUGGGUCAUGGGAGUCACUGGUGGGUCAUGGGGGUCACUUGUGGGUCAUGGGGGGUCACUUCUGGGUCAUGGGAGUCACUUCUGGGCCAUGGGGGUCACUUGUGGGUCAUGGGAUCACUUGUGGGUCAUGGGACUCACUUGUAUGUCAUGAGGGUCACUUGUGGAUCAUGGGGGUCACUUGUGGGUCAUGGGAUCACUUCUGGGGCAUGGGGGUCACUUGUGUGUCAUGGGGUCACUUGUGGGUCAUGGGGUCACGUGUGGGUCAUGGGGUCACGUGUGGGUCAUGGGAUCACUUCUGGGUCAUGGGAUCAUUUCUGGGUCAUGGGGGUCACUUGUGGGUCAUGGGGGUCACGUGUGGGUCAUGGGAUCACUUCUGGGUCAUGGGAGUCACUUGUGGGUCAUGGGGUCACGUGUGGGUCAUGGGAUCACUUCUGGGUCAUGGGAGUCACUUCUCGGCCAUGGGGGUCACUUGUGGGUCAUGGGGGUCACUUGUGGGUCAUGGGAUCACUUGUGGGUCAUGGGAGUCACUUGUGGGUCAUGGGGGUGACUUGUGGGUCAUGGGGUCACUUCUGGGUCAUGGGGUCACUUCUGGGUCAUGGUAUCACUUCUGGGUCAUGGGAGUCACUUGUGUGUCAUGGGGUCACUUCUGGGUCAUGGGGUCACUUCUGGGUCAUGGUAUCACUUCUGGGUCAUGGGGUCACUUGUGUGUCAUGGGGGUCGCCUGUGGGUCAUGGGGUCACUUCUGGGUCAUGGGGGUCACUUGUGUGUCAUGGGGGUCCCUUGUGGACUUGUGGGUCAUAAGAGUCACUUGUGUGUCAUGGGAUCACUUCUGGGUCAUGGGAGUCACUUGUGGGUCAUAGGAGUCACUUGCGGGUCAUGGGAUCACUUCUGGGUCAUGGGAAUCACUUGUGUGUCAUGGGAGUCACUUGUGUGUCAUGGGGGUCACUUGUGGGUCAUGGGAUCACUUCUGGGUCAUGGGGGUCACUUGCGGGUCAUGGGAGUCACUUGUGGGUCAUGGGGUCACUUCUGGGUCAUGGGAGUCACUUCUCGGCCAUGGGGGUCACUUGUGGGUCAUGGGAGUCACUUGUGGGCAUGGGUGUCACUUGUGGGUCAUGGGAUCACUUGUGGGUCAUGGGGUGACUUGUGGGUCAUGGGAUCACUUCUGGGUCAUGGGAGUCACUUCUCUGCCAUGGGGGUCACUUGUGGGUCAUGGGAGUCACUUGGUGUCACUUGUGGGUCAUGGGAUCACUUGUGGGUCAUGGGGGUCACUUGUGGGUCAUGGGAGUCACUUGUAUGUCAUGGGGGUCGCCUGUGGGUCAUGGGGUCACUUCUGGGUCAUGGGAUCACUUGUGGGUCAUGGGAGUCACUUCUCGGCCAUGGGGGUCACUUGUGGGUCAUGGGAGUCACUUGUGGGUCAUGGGUGUCACUUGUGGGUCAUGGGGUCACUUGUGGGUCAUGGGAGUCACUUGUGGGUCAUGGGGGUCACUUCUGGGUCAUGGGAGUCACUUGUGGGUCAUGGGAUCCCUUGUGGGUCAUGGGAGUGACUUGUGGGUCAUGGGGGUCACUUCUGGGUCAUGGGGGUCACUUCUGGGUCAUGGGAGUCACUUGUGUGUCAUGGGAUCACUUGUGGGUCAUGGGAUCACUUGUGGGUCAUGGGGAUCACUUCAAGGCUGGGGGUUGAUUGAGUGUCAUGAGGCGCCUUUGUGGGGCUGGGGGCAUUUGUGGGUCAGAGGGGUCACUGGUGGGCCUGGAUGCACCUUUUGGGCCAGGGGCUAGCGGUGCCCUUGUGGGCUCAGGUGGCCAUUUGUGGGCCAGGGGUGGUCACUUGUGAGGCGAGGGAGGCAGCUGUGGGCCAGGGGUCACUUGAGGGGCUGAAGGGGCACUUUUGGAUUGGGGAGAUACUUCUGGAAGUCCCUUGUGAGGCUGAGGGAACACUUGUGGGACUGCCACCCCCUGUGACAUGCAGCUCCCCCAGGCCCUCUUGAGGACCCCAUCCUCUGGAUGCUGCGAUGCCACCGCCGGAACAUAAGGGAACGCCUUCGGGCCAUUGAGACACUCCUGGAAUGCCCACCUGGGCACCCCCAACGCAUGGUGGGGCCAAUAAAGCAAUGACACCCCAAAAUUGCACUGGGGAGGUGGGGAGACCCCCAAAACCCCCUCCCUUACCUCCCCCGCCUCUGAGAUUGCCCGCAGUUCCCUCUCCCCCUAAACGUCCCCAAGAGUAUUUGGGAGAUUCUGGGGGCUCAAAAUAGGUUGUUGUUGGGGUAUUGGGUGUCUCUAGGGGGUCUGUGAGGGUCUGUGGGGUGUUUGGAGGGGCUCUGAAGCUGCGGAAGGGAUUUGGGGGGUGUUUGGGGAGCGCUGGAAAUCGGGAGCGGUUGGGAGGGCACUGCGUGUCUAUAGGGCGUCUAGAAGAGGUCUGUGGGAUUUUUGGGGGAGCCUCUACAAGUGCUGGGGAAAAUCUGAAAGAUAUUGGGGUCCAGGAAGGGGUUUGGCGGGACCCUUGGGCUUUGGGGGGGUCUUUAACGGUCCGGGAGUCCGUGGGAUAUUUUGGGGGGCCCAGGACAGCGCUGGGGGGUCUGUGGGGACCAGGAAGCGUAUAGGGGCGUCUGGGGGUUUAUUUGGCGUAACGGGGCGGAGACCCCCCAAGCCCGUGGGAACGGGGCUCCCCUGUCUUCUUCACCUUCCCGCGGCCGACGUGGCGCCGGGGGGUUCUGGUGCACUCCCGGCCCCGAGGGCGCUGCGGGGGCCCGGGGCCGUCAGCGGCUCCCCCCGGGGCCGUCAGCGGCUCCCCCCGGGCUCCCGCACGGCCCCGUGCGCCCCCGCUGGGCCCGCGCCGCUUUGCUCGCCUCCCGGACUACAACUCCCGACAGGCCGUGCGGCCCGCGCCGCUUUGCUCGCCUCCCGGACUACAACUCCCGACAGGCCGCGCGGCCCGCGCCGCUUUGCUCGCCUCCCGGACUACAACUCCCGACAGGCCGCGCGGCCCCGGGGGCGCUGCUGGGCCGGGACUGCGGUUCCCGUCGUGCCCCGCGGCCCCUGAGAGUCCCCUCAGAGCCGGGCCUGGCCCCGCGGCGCCGACCCGGCUGCUCCCCAAGCGUUUCCCCGAGCCGUAAGUCUGUAAGUGCCCCUCCGGGGCCCCGUAAGUACCCCCGGUGUCCCUCUCCUGACCCUCAAGUGCCCCUCAGGGUCCCUAAGUCCGCCCGGCCCCCGUCCCCUACUUGCCCCCAAAAUGCCCCCUUUGUGUACCCUCGGACUCCCAAGUGCUUUCCAACUGCCUCCCCGACCCCUAAGUGCCCCUCCAGACCCUCUAAUGAUCCCGCAAGCACUCGCAACUGGAUUCCAAGCGCCCUUCGAGUGUCUCCCAGGAACUGGCGUGAUGACGACGAUGUAGAGAAAGACCCUGACCCUAUCGCAGUAUCAGCAACAGUUCAGCCUUUAAUUGAAUUCGAAUCAAAAUUGCAAUUGCCGAUGCGGGGGACGGACAAGCCCCCCCACUUUUUCGUGCCACUCCCGUGGUCCCUCUUGGAGCCAGGGAAAUUGCAGGAAAAGCAUUCCUGCAUGAUGUGCACAUCAAAAAUUUCAUGGGAAUUGGGAACAAAGUCUGUGUGGUGAGCUUCCCGGAGAGGUGGACAUAAAUCCUGUCAGAUGAAGAAGAGGUUGAGAGGACUUUGGGGACCUCGAGUAUACUCUUCUGUAGGCCCCCCCACCCCAAAACCCCCGAGGCCCCUUCAUCCCCUACAGACUCCCCAGUAGAUCCCAAAUACCCUUAGAAUGCCCUCAAAAUGCUCCACAGCUUCCCCCCCCCAGACACCCUAUAAACCCUCAGGGACCCUCCCAAACCUCCCUCUAAAACCUCCUGAGGCUCUCUAAAAUAACCCAUAGAUCUGCCCAAACCCCUGGCAUUCCCCUGCACCCCCCAAAAGGGGCUACCCCAGGUGGCCACAACUAGUCAUGGACUGCCUGAGCCACUUUUUCAGCUGAUAUGGAUGUAGGUACAAAUCUAACAGAAAUAUAAAAUAUAAUAUAGAAAGGGGCCUCCAGGAGAGCUGGGCAGGGUCUUUGUCUGGGGACGGGAUGGAGGCUGAGGGUUUUCACCUGCCAGAGGGCAGGGUUAGAUGGGAUACUGGGAAGAAAUUCCUCCCUGUGAGGGUGGUGAGACCCUGGCACAGGCUGUCCAGAGAAGCUGCAGCUGCUCCAUCUCUGGAAGUGUCCAAGGCCAGGUUGGACAGGGCUUGGAGCAACCUGCGAUAGUGGAAGAUGCCCCUGCCAUGGGCUGGAUCGAGAUGACCUUUGAAGUCCCUUCCAACCCAAACCAGCCUGGGAUUCUAAAAGUGGGGGAGGUUUGGGGUGGGUGACCUUGCCUGACCCCAGGUGCUCCAUCACUCCAGCUUCAGGAAAAGACAGCAAGAGAAAACCUGAUGAAAAUGCUCCUGGAGGAGAUGGGGUGGGGGGAUGUGAGUCCCUCAGGAGCUGCUCCGGGUCCCUUUCCAUGGGCUGAGUCCCUCAGGUGGAGGCACUUGGGGCAUGAUUCCUACCCAACAGGCAUCCCAAUGGGGGAGAAGACAGGUUCAGCCCCUUGAUCCAGCCUGUCCUGAUCCCUCUGCAGAGCCUUUCUGCCCUCCAGCAGAUCCACACUCCCACAGAAGUUGGUGUCACUUGUGAACUUAGUUUGACUUCCACUUGAUCCCCUCAUCAGUAAAUAUGUUAAACAGGACUGGACCCAGCACUGACUCCUGGGGUCACCCACACGUAAUUUGGUGUUAUGGAUGGAGUGGGAGCUUCAGACAAGCCCUGUCUUUGGCUAAGAUUUUUGUGUACAGCUUGAAUUAGGUGGCCCGCACCUAAACCACUCUGGCUUACAAGAGUGGCAGAUCAGGUCUAUUAUAAAAUGAGUUAUUGAUUGAAUAGACAGGAGAUAAUAGACAUAAGGUCUUGAACAGAGUUACCUACUAAGCAGUAUAAAAAUAACUACUAGUAGAUUACAUAAAACAGUGCACAACAUUAAGGUACCUAUAUCAAAGCUAGGAAAGAAAUAGUAUAGAUUAGGAGUCAAUGUAACUUACCACCAAACUGGCAAGAGUGUGCACAGAGUCCUUUCAUUCAACCCUUGAGAGAGGAACCACAAAACCAGCAUCCCGACUUUGGGGGAAAUGCCCCACACAUUUCCAGGGAAUGUGCAGAAGACUUCUACUUUGUACAAGUUUGGUGUAGCUUUAAUAGAUUGUGAAGUGUGUGUCAGAAAUUCCAGCUUCUCUUUCCACAAUCUUGCUUCCACAGCAAGAUGUUUAUUGUCAGCUAGAGGUGUCACUUCCAUGGCACCCAAAUAACCACGAGACAAGCGGUCUUUAGUGAUUUAUUUCACCAGUUAGCAACCUCUUGAGGCAGGGAACAUGUCCUGCUACACUGGCCCUAGCUGGAUUUAGUUCCAUUCCCCUCCACUCUCUGGGCUUGAGCAUCAGCCAGUUUUUCAUCCAGCAAACAGUUCCCCUGUCCAGUCCAUGUGCAGCCAGCUUCUCCAGUGCCAAAGGCUUUACUGAUGUCUAUAAAUACACGUCCACCACCCUUCCCUCAUCUGCUGACUGGGUCAUUCUGUCACUGAAGGACCUGCCUUUCCCAAACAUGCACUGUCUGGGCCUGAUCCCCUGGUUGUCCUGCACAUGCUGUAGGAUAGCACUCAGGAUGAUCUGCUCCAUGGCCUUCCCCAGUACAGGGGUCAGGCUGACACGGUUCAUGGAAAGACACUAAAACUCUAAAAGACAAAGUGAGUUAUAAAGUAGGUAUGUAUUUUUUUUUUGGUCGGAUGCGUGCGGGAUACUUCCGCAAAGGCAUGCACAUCUCCGUGUUCUCAGCGUUCUUUUUCAUCCUCUAAAAUGUUACAUAUACAUUAGAUUUUGCAAUACAUUUAUGCAUAUUCAUUUCCUGGCUCCACCUUGUCCCACUUUGUAUGCUAAUUAACUCAUCAGUCCCUUGCACCUGUGUACUUGUCUCUGGUGGUUGUCUUGGGGGAUGAAGUAAGUAGUCGUCAUCAAAGUUGACAUUCUCACCCUGUCUUCUUGUGCAUGCUUACUGAUCCAGUUUGGGCUUCAGAGGAGCCUUGUUGUCCUGGUAGUCUUGUAACUUUGUUCUGUUUUGAUGAACAUCAUCCUUCCCUUAUCACACAUCCUUGCUUUCUUUUGUGUUGCUCUUGCAUGUACACUGUUGUCUUCCCUUUAGAGGUAGUUAGCACAGUAAAAAGCAGCAAAUAUGAAGCAAUAUAUAUAAUCUAAAUAUCUAUGUCUAAUCAAUAUCCCUCUAAUUCCUAACCCCAUGUCUCAGACAGGUCUGAAGCUCCCUGAAUCCUCCUUCCAGUCCUUCUCAUAGAAGGAUAGCACAUUUGCUGAUUUUGAGUCAACAGGAACUCUUUCAGUUUACCAGAGCUUACCAGUUUGGCUUUGGCCUUUCUAACUUUCUUGCUAUAUCACCUCCCAACAUCCUUGUAAUCCCCUAAGUUUUCUGCCUCUCCUUCCAGAGGUGACACAUGUUUUUUUUUUUUUUUGCCCUGAGUUCCUGCCUAAGGGUUCGGGUUAGGGUUAGGCCUCUCUUUAAUGAGGCCAGUCAUUUUCCCACACUGGCUUGUCUUAUGGCACAUGGGCACAGCUCCUGCAGCUUUAAAAUUUCCUUUUUAAAGAAUCUCCAGCUCUCCUGGAUUCCUUUUCCCUUCAGGACUGACUCCCAAGGGACUCUGUCAAUGGAUCUCCUAGAAAGGACAAAAUGUGCCCUCCAGCAAUCCAAGGGGGCAGUUCUGUUGCCCCGUCCUUUCUAUCCCCACAGUGGAAAACUGUCAUUUUGUGGUUGCUUUGUCCAAGACACUCCCAAAUACCACAUCACACACCACUGAUGGAAUAACAGAAUCAGAGAAUGGUAUGGGUUGGAAAGGACCUUAAAGGGCCUCUACUUCCAACCCUCCUGCCAUGGCCAGGGACAGAUUCCAGUAGUGGAAGUUGCUGCAAGCCCUGCCCAAACUGGCCUUGGACACAUCCAGCAACGGGGCAGCAACAGCUUCUCUGGGCAACAUGUGCCAGGAGCUCACUGCCCUCACAGGGAAGAUUUUCUUCUAGAAGCUGAUCUAAAACUGCUCUUUAUCAGAGGAGAGCCAUUCUCCCACGUCCUGUCACUCCAGGUCCAGCACCGAGACCCAUGGCUGACACCAGUCCUGGGGCAGCUCCAUGGAGAUCCUCCACUGCUACAAGUGGUUGCCGUGGGCAUGAGCUGAGGCCUGUAGCAGAUCCUGCUGCCUUGGCAACCACUUGCUAUCUCCUUCCGAGAUAGCUCAGUUACCACAGCAUUGUCAAUGGACCUGCUCCUAAAUUUUGUCUUGGCCCAAGAAAAAAUUUGGACCAAGUCUUGGCCCAGCUGUGAUCCUGGACUGCUGUGUGUUGGAGAUUGAAAUAUUAUUGUUUAUGACUUAAACAUCCUCAUGAAGAACUUUUGCCUAUUAUAGUAAAACUGUUUUGCAAAAGCUGCAGAGAAGACCACCACACCCUGAAUGGGGCCCUGACUGAGGGCCUGCACUGCUCGAUGAUAAAGAUAAGAGAAAGUAACGACUCAAGGCUGAGGACAUUCACAGCGCCCAAGCCUAAUACCUUCUUAGUGGAGACCGAAGCCCUGGGGCCAUCAGCUGCCAGACUCCAAUAGACCCUCCCAACAAAGGGUGGUGGGAAGAGACCUUGGCUUACCCCAGAUGCUCCCCCCUCCCCCCCCCCCAGGCUGCUCCAUCACUCCAGCUUCAGGAAAAGACAGCAAGAGAAAACCUGAUGAAAAUGCUCCUGGAGGAGAUGGGGUGGGGGGAUGUGAGUCCCUCGGGAGCUGCUCCGGGUCCCUUUCCAUGGGCCGAGUCCCUCAGGUGGAGGCAUUUCGGACGCAGAGGCAACACCUACCUCACUGUAGUCUUCUCCAGUGCUGCAGGGGAGUCUCUGCUCUGCGGCACCUCCUUACCUGGGGUGCUGCUCAAGGAGGAAGGACAACAGCAGUGAAAGGGACUUUUUUGCACCAAAAUAAAAUUAAACUGUGAAUGUUAUUUUUCUCAAGGAUUUUAAGAUUUGUAAAUCCCAUGUUCUGAAAUGAUCUGAGGUGUAGCAGGCAAGACCUAGAGAGUUUAGAGAUAAAAGCAGCAUUUUUAUAUGUUUUUUAUGAAAAAUAAAAUAUUUUUCACUCAGACAUGGCAGGUUCUACCUGCUGCUGCAGGGUUUGGGUAGGGAAUUUUGGGACAUCCAGCAGAUCCCGACACCUCAUUUUUCCUGAAGUGAGGAUUCUGAAAUGGCAAAGGAAAAGGAUCAGGACAGUUUAGAAGCUGAGGAAAACUACCCGAAAUGUGGUUGCUGAGGCUCUUGCCUGUGUUUUGGACAGUGAAAGAAUAGUUGGGGUUGGAAGGGCCUCUGGAGAUCAACCAAGAAAAUGUCCUGGUCUGGUGCAAUCUCCUCACCUCAGAAUGUUUGGGGUUUGGGAGGUUGUUGUAAGUUGACUGAAUAUUAACACUUAGUGUAACCACUGAAGAUAUAGACAAGCCUCUGAGAACACAGGGCGUUAAAAGCAGAGAACUCCCAGGGAAACGCUCUCCCCACAGGCUGGGUAGGGGAGGGGAAGUCAUGCAGCCCAGGCUGAGGUAGGCCAGGGGCCCCAGACAGAGAAGGGGGGUGAAAGGAAUAAAACCGGGCCAGCCCCUGCAAAACAGAUGGGUGGAGAAACACUGAGAUGUCCUGGGCAGCCCCCGCAGGGAGAGAAAAAAAGAGAGAAAGCCUCUGUCACCUUAAAAUUUAGUAUCAUGUGCUGGCAGUACACUGGCAGAGGAAAAAGAGGAGGUGGAGGAUGGGGGCAAGGUGCCCAGUGCUGGGAGUCCUGGGCAGCCUGCUGUAAGAUUUCAGCCAUCCUGUGGGGCAGCAGAGCCCGAGACUUUAACCCUUUCUUAGACAAAGGAGACUUUAUGAAACAGAAUCCUCCUUUAUCUGAAGGAGGAAGAGAGACAGCCUAGAGUCUAAGAUGUCAGAAAAAGAUGAGAAAAAAAUCUUAAGUGAAAAGAGAUGAUAAAGUAGCCUUCAGCUGAACUCUUUCUUGUACAGCCAUAGACUAAACCAAUUUUCCUGUAACACGAAGAUUACAUUUAGAGAGAUUCAAUAGUUUAAGCCAAGAGAGUCACCUGCUGCAGUAAUUGCCAGUGCAAGAGUGAGAGUGACCUGCUGAAGUAACACCAUAUGCAAGACUGAAGUAAACAGAGAAAGAUGAAGAAAAUGUAGUAGUGCCCCCGGUCUUCAGGGAAGAAGAUCUCUGUUCUCAAAACCCUUGGCCCCAGGGGAGCAGAAAAUAGGGAGGACUGUUGUCCUAAAAUAAGAAAAUGUUGGUUUUUAGUACUUAGCAAAGCAUCCUUUAAAAGGAUCCUGUAAACAGUGUUAUUCCAUAAACAGUAGUGAGAGCACUGUACAUAGAAAGAAGAUGUCACAAUAGCAAUCUUUUUUGGGCGGUGCCAUGUGUGACAUAGAAACAUAAAAGGCUUCAAUUGUAUUUCCUGUAGAAAACUAUAGUACAAGAGAGACUCCUCUCUCCCUUAAUGAACUGAGAAUUAUCUGAAGUAGUAGUAAAUUAAUUGAGAAUCCAAAGUUUUGUUUCACUGUACUUUAGUAGAAAUUAGGUGGGAGGAGGAGGAAUGUUUUAGAAAGUUUUCAUUCUGAAUUUUGUGUGUUCCCUUUUGUUACGGUAUAAGUUAAUAAAGCUUUUUUCUUUAUUUCUAAACUUAAA